GAGAGUUUGAUCCUGGCUCAGGAUGAACGCUAGCUACAGGCUUAACACAUGCAAGUCGAGGGGCAGCAUGGUCUUAGCUUGCUAAGGCCGAUGGCGACCGGCGCACGGGUGAGUAACGCGUAUCCAACCUGCCUUACACUCUUGGACAGCCUUCUGAAAGGGAGAUUAAUACAAGAUGUUAUCAUGAGUAAGCAUUUUCGCAUGAUUAAAGGUUUACCGGUGUAAGAUGGGGAUGCGUUCCAUUAGAUAGUAGGCGGGGUAACGGCCCACCUAGUCUUCGAUGGAUAGGGGUUCUGAGAGGAAGGUCCCCCACAUUGGAACUGAGACACGGUCCAAACUCCUACGGGAGGCAGCAGUGAGGAAUAUUGGUCAAUGGACGAGAGUCUGAACCAGCCAAGUAGCGUGAAGGAUGAAGGUUCUAUGGAUUGUAAACUUCUUUUAUACGGGAAUAAACGGAUCCACGUGUGGAUUUUUGCGUGUACCGUAUGAAUAAGGAUCGGCUAACUCCGUGCCAGCAGCCGCGGUAAUACGGAGGAUCCGAGCGUUAUCCGGAUUUAUUGGGUUUAAAGGGAGCGUAGAUGGGUUGUUAAGUCAGUUGUGAAAGUUUGCGGCUCAACCGUAAAAUUGCAAUUGAUACUGGCAGUCUUGAGUACAGUUGAGGUAGGCGGAAUUCGUGGUGUAGCGGUGAAAUGCUUAGAUAUCACGAAGAGCUCCGAUUGCGAAGGCAGCUUACUAACCUGUAACUGACAUUGAUGCUCGAAAGUGUGGGUAUCAAACAGGAUUAGAUACCCUGGUAGUCCACACGGUAAACGAUGAAUACUCGCUGUAGGCGAUAUACAGUCUGCGGCCAAGCGAAAGCAUUAAGUAUUCCACCUGGGGAGUACGCCGGCGACGGUGAAACUCAAAGGAAUUGACGGGGGCCCGCACAAGCGGAGGAACAUGUGGUUUAAUUCGAUGAUACGCGAGGAACCUUACCCGGGCUUAAAUUGCAACCGAAUAUGGCGGAAACGCUAUAGCUAGCAAUAGCGGUUGUGAAGGUGCUGCAUGGUUGUCGUCAGCUCGUGCCGUGAGGUGUCGGCUUAAGUGCCAUAACGAGCGCAACCCUUGCCGAUAGUUACUAACAGGUCAUGCUGAGGACUCUGUCGGGACUGCCAUCGUAAGAUGUGAGGAAGGUGGGGAUGACGUCAAAUCAGCACGGCCCUUACGUCCGGGGCUACACACGUGUUACAAUGGGGGGUACAGAGGGCUGCUACCACGCAAGUGGAUGCCAAUCCCAAAAACCUCUCUCAGUUCGGAUUGAAGUCUGCAACCCGACUUCAUGAAGCUGGAUUCGCUAGUAAUCGCGCAUCAGCCACGGCGCGGUGAAUACGUUCCCGGGCCUUGUACACACCGCCCGUCAAGCCAUGGGAGCCGGGGGUACCUGAAGUGCGUAACCGCAAGGAGCGCCCUAGGGUAAAAUUGGUGACUGGGGCUAAGUCGUAACAAGGUAGCCG
Molecule: ribosomal RNA, 1493 nt
Filed under: uncultured bacterium
Lineage: Bacteria
Description: bacterial SSU rRNA
Rfam family: Bacterial small subunit ribosomal RNA
Source: RNAcentral